GGCCGACUAUACAGACUUAUGAAUUACAAAGAGUUGCGAGUCCGGGGCCAUGACCCGGUCAACAACGUGGAAAAGGCUUAAACGCCAAAGAUAAUUACGCUUUAGCUGCUUAAUUAAAGUAGCUCGUCCGCUUACCGCGAGCCUGUAGGGGUAAGUCCGGGCGCCGACUAAUCAGGCUACCGACUCCACGGUUGGCAGAGCCAAAGGAGAAGGGAAUAACAAGUGUGCUAGUGUAACGGAAUCUUGUCUCAAGGAGCCCGUUACCCGAAACUAAAUUUGAGGCUACACUCGUAGAAGCUUUUGCUGGUUUGCCUUCGGACAGGGGUUCGAUUCCCCUCGCCUCCACCA
RNAcentral lists this transfer-messenger RNA (348 nucleotides) under Bacillota bacterium. It matches the Rfam family "transfer-messenger RNA". From Rfam's summary of the family: Bacterial tmRNA, also known as 10Sa RNA or SsrA, is named for its dual tRNA and mRNA-like properties. The record is from RNAcentral. Lineage: Bacteria; Bacillati; Bacillota.